GUAGGGAAUCUUCGGCAAUGGACGAAAGUCUGACCGAGCAACGCCGCGUGAGUGAAGAAGGUUUUCGGAUCGUAAAACUCUGUUGUUAGAGAAGAAUGUUGAUUAGAGUGGAAAAUUAAUCAAGUGACGGUAUCUAACCAGAAAGGGACGGCUAACUACGUGCCAGCAGCCGCGGUAAUACGUAGGUCCCGAGCGUUGUCCGGAUUUAUUGGGCGUAAAGCGAGCGCAGGUGGUUUAAUAAGUCUGAUGUAAAAGGCAGUGGCUCAACCAUUGUGUGCAUUGGAAACUGUUAGACUUGAGUGCAGUAGAGGAGAGUGGAAUUCCAUGUGUAGCGGUGAAAUGCGUAGAUAUAUGGAGGAACACCGGUGGCGAAAGCGGCUCUCUGGACUGUCACUGACACUGAGGCUCGAAAGCGUGGGUAGCAAACAGGAUUAGAUACCCCGGUAGUCC
RNAcentral lists this ribosomal RNA (450 nucleotides) under uncultured bacterium. Its description in RNAcentral is "partial 16S ribosomal RNA". It matches the Rfam family "Bacterial small subunit ribosomal RNA", at positions 354 to 796 of the family's 1533-position model. The record is from RNAcentral.